GAUGAACGCUGGCGGCGUGCCUAAUACAUGCAAGUCGAGCGAACAGACGAGGAGCUUGCUCCUCUGACGUUAGCGGCGGAAGGGUGAGUAACACGUGGAUAACCUACCUAUAAGACUGGGAUAACUUCGGGAAACCGGAGCUAAUACCGGAUAAUAUAUUGAACCGCAUGGUUCAAUAGUGAAAGACGGUUUUGCUGUCACUUAUAGAUGGAUCCGCGCCGCAUUAGCUAGUUGGUAAGGUAACGGCUUACCAAGGCAACGAUGCGUAGCCGACCUGAGAGGGUGAUCAGCCACACUGGGACUGAGACACGGUCCAGACUCCUACGGGAGGCAGCAGUAGGGAAUCUUCAGCAAUGGGCGAAAGAUUGACGGAGCAACGCCGCGUGAGUGAUGAAGGUCUUCGGAUCGUAAAACUCUGUUAUUAGGGAAGAACAAAUGUGUAAGUAACGAUGCACGUCUUGACGGUACCUAAACAGAAAGCCACGGCUAACUACGUG
This 497-nucleotide ribosomal RNA is filed under the name uncultured bacterium. RNAcentral's name for it is "partial 16S ribosomal RNA". It matches the Rfam family "Bacterial small subunit ribosomal RNA", at positions 28 to 507 of the family's 1533-position model. The record is from RNAcentral.